GGCCGCGGGAAUUCGAUUCAGGCCUAACACAUGCAAGUCGAGCGAACCCUUCGGGGUGAGCGGCGGACGGGUGAGUAACGCGUGGGUAACCUGCCCUGUACACACGGAUAACAUACCGAAAGGUAUGCUAAUACGAGAUAACAUGUAAUGAUCGCAUGGUCGAUACAUCAAAGCUCCGGCGGUACAGGAUGGACCCGCGUCUGAUUAGCUAGUUGGUGAGGUAAUGGCUCACCAAGGCGACGAUCAGUAGCCGACCUGAGAGGGUGAUCGGCCACAUUGGAACUGAGACACGGUCCAAACUCCUACGGGAGGCAGCAGUGGGGAAUAUUGCACAAGGGGCGAAAGCCUGAUGCAGCAACGCCGCGUGAGCGAUAGAGGCCUUCGGGUCGUAAAGCUCUGUCCUCAAGGAAGAUAAUGACGGU
This 422-nucleotide ribosomal RNA is filed under the name uncultured bacterium. RNAcentral's name for it is "bacterial SSU rRNA". It matches the Rfam family "Bacterial small subunit ribosomal RNA", at positions 39 to 458 of the family's 1533-position model. The record is from RNAcentral.